This 329-nucleotide RNase P RNA is filed under the name bovine gut metagenome. Its description in RNAcentral is "Bacterial RNase P class A". It matches the Rfam family "Bacterial RNase P class A". Rfam says of the family: Ribonuclease P (RNase P) is a ubiquitous endoribonuclease, found in archaea, bacteria and eukarya as well as chloroplasts and mitochondria. Its best characterised activity is the generation of mature 5'-ends of tRNAs by cleaving the 5'-leader elements of precursor-tRNAs. The record is from RNAcentral.
CGAUCGCGGCCGCGCAAGCGGUCGAGGAAAGUCCGGACUCCGCAGGGCGGAGGACGGGGCUGCAAUGGCCCCGGGGGUCGGGGCGAACCCGGCCGACGGAAAGUGCCACAGAGACUAGACUGCCGGUUGACGCCGGCAACAGGUGAAAGCGGGUGGGGCAAGAGCCCACCGGGGCGGUGAACAGCCGCCCGCAUCGGCAAACCCUCCUCGGAGCAAGAUCAAAUAGGGGGCUCGACGGGCGGCCCGUCCGGCGCCAGAGGCGACUUUGGCUAGGGCCCCGGGUUGAUUGCUCAGAUGAAUGAUCGGAUAAAACAGAAUCCGGCUUACUC